This 578-nucleotide long non-coding RNA is filed under the name Homo sapiens (human). RNAcentral describes it as "non-protein coding lnc-ZNF486-8:1". The record is from RNAcentral. Lineage: Eukaryota; Metazoa; Chordata; Mammalia; Primates; Hominidae.
UCACAUCAGAGAGGGAAGCCUGAGCUGCAGGAGGAGAGCCUGCAGGCCUCCUGGGUAGAAUGACACAUUCACAAUAAUGGAAAUGAGAGCAGUGUUUCAGCCCAUUUCUACUUAUAAUGGUGACCAGGGAAAAAUACUGCUGAUUUUCCAGCAUGAAUCCAGAUAGAGAUAGCUCCAGAAGUUCUCACUGUGACAGCCCAGCUUAUUCCAAAAUCAAGGGUUAUGAAUAAGGCUUCUGAAACAGAGACCCAAAGCACUGGAGAGAAAAACAGAUCUCCGUCGGAGCAAGAUGGUUCUGAGAGAAAAAAGUUAAAAUGAUCUUAAGAAAAAUCUCAGACUACAUAUAACAUUGAUUAUGUCAGAUAGAAAAUAUUCCCCUAAAAGAAAUUUCUCUCUAAACACCUAAAGUGUACAGCUACUCUCAACAUGAGAAACAUGAGCAUUAUGAAGAAAGGGGGCAGAUUUUCAGAAGAAUUUUAUAAAGUUUCUUUUCUAUCUCUGCUGUUCUCUCAUCUCCUAGCCAUUGAAUGGGGGUUCUACGUUGAAAUAUAUUUGACAACUUCCAACAACACUUUCUG